This 286-nucleotide ribosomal RNA is filed under the name uncultured diatom. Its description in RNAcentral is "partial 18S ribosomal RNA". It matches the Rfam family "Eukaryotic small subunit ribosomal RNA", at positions 598 to 888 of the family's 1831-position model. Lineage: Eukaryota; Bacillariophyta. The record is from RNAcentral.
CGUAUAUUAAAGUUGUUGCAGUUAAAAAGCUCGUAGUUGGAUUUGUGGUGUGUGGUGUGUUCCGGGCACUUGUUGUCUGAGUAACACGCUGCUGCCAUCCUUGGGUGGAACCUGUAUGGCAUUAGGUUGUCGUGCAGGGGAUGCCCAUCUUUUACUGUGAAAAGAUUAGAGUGUUCAAAGCAGGCUUAUGCCGUUGAAUAUAUUAGCAUGGAAUAAUGAGAUAGGACUUUUUCGCUAUUUUGUUGGUUUGCGCGAAGAGGUAAUGAUUAAUAGGGACAGUUGGGGG